CCUACGGGUGGCAGCAGUCGGGAAUAUUGCGCAAUGGAGGAAACUCUGGCGCAGGGACGCCGCGUGCAGGAAGAAGGUUUUCGGAUUGUAAACUGCGUUAGACAGGGAAGAAAAAAGACAGGACCGGUAGAAUAAGCGCCGGCUAACUACGUGCCAGCAGCCGCGGUAAUACGUAGGGAGCAAGCGUUCGCCGGAUUUAUUGGGUGUAAAGGGUGCGUAGAAGGAGAAGCAAGUUAGUGGGGAAAUCCCGCGGCUUAACUGAGGAACUGCAACUAAAACUACUUCCCUUGAGUACUGGAGAGGUCAGUGGCAUUCCUAGUGUAGCGGUUACAUGCGUCGCUAUUCGGAGGAACCCCCGUGGCGAAGGCGACUUUCUGGACAGUACCUGACGUUGCGGCACG
RNAcentral lists this ribosomal RNA (401 nucleotides) under uncultured bacterium. Its description in RNAcentral is "partial 16S ribosomal RNA". It matches the Rfam family "Bacterial small subunit ribosomal RNA", at positions 338 to 755 of the family's 1533-position model. The record is from RNAcentral.